UAUCAUUACUUUCUUCCGUCAUUUUGCUGCAUUCACAUCUGUGUUUGCUUAUUGUACACCCAAACAGAUCAGAUAUUUCAACGGAAAAAAAAAUCAGAGAAGCCAUCAUCUUCAUUUAAAUUAUUGGAGGAUUUGAAUGAACCUUCAACUUUUCAGUUUCAUUCUGGAAAACUUCCAAACACCUUUCAAACUUUACAGUUGGUUCAGAUCUAUCAGUCUCCAUGUCGGUGGACUGCACAAGUGGACAAGUUUAUCUGCUUCCUGACCGCUGUGUUUGCUGUAUUGUAGCACUGGCAGAGAGUAGGUGCUCAGUGCAUAUAUGGUGAAGGAGCUUUCAAUGGCCAUUGAUCUUUGACAAGCUUUCAGGAAAGCCAUGAUUGAUAAGAAAAAAACAUUGAGGCUGCAGGCUCCUGCUUUGAACUGUGCAGAUGAGAGAUGUGCGGAGAAUGUUACAAGCCCCCUGCUUUGACACAGAUAAGAGAAACAGAGAGAAGAUAGAGCCCUGGGUCAGAAGGCUGAAAGCCUCAAGUAAAGCCCAUCUUGGAUGAAGCUUGAAGAAAUCGUGUUAAGUGAAAUAAGUCAGAAACAGAAGGGUGAAUAUGGGAUGAUCUCACUCAUAGGAAGAAGUUGAAAAACAAGAUCAGAAGAGAAAAUACUAAGCAGAACCUGAACUGGAGUUGGUGUAUUGCACCGAAGUAAAAGACUCUUGGGUGGGUGGUGGGGGAGAGUACAGGUCCUGGAAAAGGAUGACAGAGGACUUAGUGAGGACUGUAUUUUGAUGUGGAAAACUGAGAAAUGUUAUGCAUGUACAAACUAUUGUAUUUACUGGUGACUGUAAAACAUUAAUCCCCCAGUAAAGGGAAAAAGUGUUAAAUAAAAAAAUUAAAAAAAAAGCUAAAUGUUAUCAUUGUUGGGCUAAUGUGGGACAGAAGAAUAAAAACAUAGAGGACUUUUGGGUCAGAAAAAGUACUCUGUAUGACAUUAUAGAAUUGAAUAUUUUCAGCAUUUUUCCAAAUCGAUAAUAUGUACAAUAUCAAUCAUGAACAGUACUGUAAAAGAGAGAAUUUGAGUGACUCAAAGAAGAACUUGAACUGGAGUUGGUACAUUGCACCAAAGUAAAAGACUCUGGGGUGGGGGAGAAGGUUCAGCUCCUGGAAGACAGAAGAGGACCUAGUGGAAUUUGAAUUGUUAUGUAGAAAACUGAGAAAUGAGAGUCAGGCUAUAGUGCAGCGGGUUAAGCACAGGUGGCACAAAGCGUAAGGACCGGCAUAAGGAUCCCAGUUCAAGCCCCAGGCUCCCCACCUAUAGGGGAGUCGCUUCACAAGCAGUGAAGCAGGUCUGCAAGUGUCUAUCUCUCUGUCUUCCCCUCCUCUCUCCAUUUCUCCCUGUCCUAUCCAACAACGACAACAUCAAUGAUAACUACAACAAUAAAACAACAAGGGCAACA
Erinaceus europaeus (western European hedgehog) is the source of this 1447-nucleotide long non-coding RNA. RefSeq lists it as uncharacterized. The record is from RefSeq and is a predicted model, not a curated record. NCBI's taxonomy places the organism in Eukaryota, Metazoa, Chordata, Mammalia, Eulipotyphla, Erinaceidae. The transcript is spliced from 4 exons.